CCAAUAGCGUAUAUUAAAGUUGUUGCAGUUAAAAAGCUCGUAGUUGAAUUUCGGGGUUAGUAGGUUGGUCAUGCCUCUGGUAUGUACUGGUCUCACUGAUUCCUCCUUCCUUAUGAACCGUAAUGCCAUUAAUUUGGUGUUGCGGGAAAUUUGGACUGUUACUUUGAAAAAAUUAGAGUGUUUAAAGCAAGCUAACGCUUGAAUACAUUAGCAUGGAAUAAUGAAAUAGGACGUUCGAUCUUAUUUUGUUGGUUUCUAGGAUUGACGUAAUGAUUAAUAGGGAUAGUUGAGGGCAUUAGUAUACAAUUGUCAGAGGUGAGAUUCUUGGAUUUAUUGAAGACUAAAUACUGCGAAAGCAUUUGCCAAGAAUGUUUUCAUUAAUCAAGAACGAAAGUUAGGGGAUCGAAGACGAUGAGAUACCGUCGUAGUCUUAACCAUAAACUAUGCCGACUAGGGAUCGGAUGAUGUUAAUUUUUUAAUGACUCAUUCGGCGCCUUACG
RNAcentral lists this ribosomal RNA (500 nucleotides) under uncultured Glomeromycotina. RNAcentral's name for it is "partial small subunit ribosomal RNA". It matches the Rfam family "Eukaryotic small subunit ribosomal RNA", at positions 591 to 1092 of the family's 1831-position model. The record is from RNAcentral. Lineage: Eukaryota; Fungi; Glomeromycota.